GGCUCAGGACGAACGCUGGCGGCGUGCCUAAUACAUGCAAGUCGAGCGGACAGAUGGGAGCUUGCUCCCUGAUGUCAGCGGCGGACGGGUGAGUAACACGUGGGUAACCUGCCUGUAAGACUGGGAUAACUCCGGGAAACCGGGGCUAAUACCGGAUGCUUGAUUGAACCGCAUGGUUCAAUUAUAAAAGGUGGCUUUUAGCUACCACUUACAGAUGGACCCGCGGCGCAUUAGCUAGUUGGUGAGGUAACGGCUCACCAAGGCAACGAUGCGUAGCCGACCUGAGAGGGUGAUCGGCCACACUGGGACUGAGACACGGCCCAGACUCCUACGGGAGGCAGCAGUAGGGAAUCUUCCGCAAUGGACGAAAGUCUGACGGAGCAACGCCGCGUGAGUGAUGAAGGUUUUCGGAUCGUAAAACUCUGUUGUUAGGGAAGAACAAGUACCGUUCGAAUAGGGCGGUACCUUGACGGUACCUAACCAGAAAGCCACGGCUAACUACGUGCCAGCAGCCGCGGUAAUACGUAGGUGGCAAGCGUUGUCCGGAAUUAUUGGGCGUAAAGCGCGCGCAGGCGGUUUCUUAAGUCUGAUGUGAAAGCCCCCGGCUCAACCGGGGAGGGUCAUUGGAAACUGGGGAACUUGAGUGCAGAAGAGGAGAGUGGAAUUCCACGUGUAGCGGUGAAAUGCGUAGAGAUGUGGAGGAACACCAGUGGCGAAGGCGACUCUCUGGU
This 731-nucleotide ribosomal RNA is filed under the name Bacillus sp. THJ-E28. RNAcentral describes it as "bacterial SSU rRNA". It matches the Rfam family "Bacterial small subunit ribosomal RNA", at positions 21 to 733 of the family's 1533-position model. Lineage: Bacteria; Bacillati; Bacillota; Bacilli; Caryophanales; Bacillaceae. The record is from RNAcentral.